AGCGAACGCUGGCGGCAGGCCUAACACAUGCAAGUCGAACGAACUCUUCGGAGUUAGUGGCGGACGGGUGAGUAACACGUGGGAACGUGCCUUUAGGUUCGGAAUAACUCAGGGAAACUUGUGCUAAUACCGAAUGUGCCCUUCGGGGGAAAGAUUUAUCGCCUUUAGAGCGGCCCGCGUCUGAUUAGCUAGUUGGUGAGGUAAAGGCUCACCAAGGCGACGAUCAGUAGCUGGUCUGAGAGGAUGAUCAGCCACAUUGGGACUGAGACACGGCCCAAACUCCAACGGGAGGCAGCAGGGGGGAAUCUUGCGGAAUGGGCGAAAGCCUGACGCAGCCAUGCCGCGUGAAUGAUGAAGGUCUUAGGAUUGUAAAAUCCUUUCACCGGUGAAGAUAAUGACCGUAGCCGGAGAAGAAGCCCCGGCUAACUUCGUGCCAGCGGCCGCCGCCG
Molecule: ribosomal RNA, 449 nt
Filed under: uncultured bacterium
Lineage: Bacteria
Description: partial 16S ribosomal RNA
Rfam family: Bacterial small subunit ribosomal RNA
Source: RNAcentral